CGAAGGCAAGCGGAUCUCUUAAAGCNGUUCUCAGUUCGGACUGCAGUCUGCAACUCGACUGCACGAAGCUGGAAUCGCUAGUAAUCGCGGAUCAGCACGCCGCGGUGAAUGCGUUCCCGGGCCUUGUACACACCGCCCGUCAAGUCAUGAAAGUGGGCAGCACCCGAAGACGGUGGCCUAACCCUUGUGGGGGGAGCCGUCUAAGGUGAGGCUCGUGAUUGGGACUAAGUCGUAACAAGGUAUC
This 244-nucleotide ribosomal RNA is filed under the name uncultured bacterium. Its description in RNAcentral is "partial 16S ribosomal RNA". It matches the Rfam family "Bacterial small subunit ribosomal RNA", at positions 1258 to 1500 of the family's 1533-position model. The record is from RNAcentral.